Long non-coding RNA from Carassius carassius (crucian carp), 308 nucleotides. RefSeq lists it as uncharacterized. Lineage: Eukaryota; Metazoa; Chordata; Actinopteri; Cypriniformes; Cyprinidae. The transcript is spliced from 3 exons. The record is from RefSeq and is a predicted model, not a curated record.
GGGACAGAGCCAUAUAGAGAAAGAGUUGCGACAACUCCAUUGACUCCAAUGGAACGCUUUUUUUACAGCAAUGGCGGCUCGUGGAGCCUCUCAAUAGUUCCCGGAAGUAGCAGCAAACUGAUGCGCGGCGGGUAGAGAUGCAGCAGAACAAACCGUUUGCGACGCACUUUUAAAAGGUGGAGGAUUAGUGGUGCCACUGGACUGUUCUGUGAUGGAGCAUCAGUGAGGAUGCAGACCCAGGUAACUGGCUGAUGGUUCACUGGAAUGCUGACUGGCUGCUGGUUGACUGGGCAGUGUCACCUGUUCCU